GUUUAGUAUUGCCUAGGAAGGUAUUAACUGCUGGAUGAUUGAAUUAAGAUGAAUAUCUCCUUGUAGGAAUGGACAAUUUCUUGCUUAAUUUGGAUAGCAGACAGAAAUAAAAGUAACAAAGUUUUUUACUUUGGUUUUGAACUGUUGUCUUAAUGCUAGUUCAUCAGUCAUCCUAGUCCUACAGGCAUUCAGGCAUUCCCGGUAAUGUAAUUUUUAAUAUUUCAGGGUAAGUGUCUUCUUGGUCUCAUUUUGGGGAGAUGUGAAGAUGUCACAGUAGAAAUGUGCUGGUUUUUAUGGUGGGCAGGAGUCUGGUAACUCAUGUCUCAUUUGAACACUUCACCAAGCUUCUCUAGUGUGUUUGGUUGUACAGAUCUGAGAUAGGUACUCCCUGUAGUGAGGAAAUUGUAGUUUCUUUGCUUUUGUUAGUGUUUUGUAGGUGAGGAACACUUUGGACUAUAUAUAAUUUUGUAAGUAAAGGGCUGGAAAGGUGUUGCAUCAAUUAAGAGCACAAGGUGCUUUUCCAGAGGACCUAGGUUCCAUUCUCAGAACUCAUUUGGCAGCUCACAGCCAUCUGUAAGUCCAGUUUUAGAGGCUCUGAUGGCCUCGUCUGGUCUCUGUUAGUAACAAGCACAUACAUGAUAUAUAGACAUAAAUGCAGGCAAAACACUCAUAAAAUAAAUAAAAAGUAAAUUCUUUAUUUGAGGUAUAUAUUUUUAGUGUGAACAGAAAAGAUAAAAUUACCUAUUAAAAUAUAUGUAUACUUUAUAGCUAACACAGUAUUAUGGUUAGGAGUUGACUCUUGGUAAAAGGUUAUUUCAGGUUCUAUAAAGUAGUAAUGAACUAUAAAGUACACAUUUUGAAGAAAUUCUAUAGUAACCACCUAUAUCAGGUGAAAGUGUUUACAGUGUAGCUAUUAUCUGUCACAGUGGCUUUCUGUUUGUUAGUUUGAGGUUUGGUACCAGUUUUUUAUAGACACUUGGUAUAGAAAUAAAAGAAGCAAAACAAGGGCCGUGUAAUGGUCUGGAUUUUCUGUUGAAACCCAGUUUCUUAUCCUCCACUACCUGAAGAGCACUUUACUUGUUCCUAGGGACCUAUUCUCAAGUGCUUAUCCUCUCUUCAUCUUGGGUUAAAGAACUCACACAAAGUUCUUGUUCAGUAGGGAAACUGUGAAGGGGAUUAAGUGUUGGAAUUGUAUCUAGUAAUGACUUUCAGAGUGAGGAAGGAGGAGCCUUCUUAUUUUAUAAUAGUUAAUCUGUGACAUCCAAGCUGUUUUAUUAACAGCACUGAGCUGUUGUUUAUUCUUCUCACUGUUAACUGUGUAGUGAAAUGUGAAAAUGUUCGUUUCAGCGUGAGUCAAAGCAGUGUACCCUUGUACACUGUAGUUAUUGUACAUUGUGUCCAUUGUGCCAUUGUAGUCAGUGUACCCUUCCCCACCAUCUGCUGAAAACCCACCCGAGAGUGCUCCUGUGAAGCAGGUAACAGGUAGUUCUGUUAUCUUUGCUCCAGUAGUCUGACAAAACGGGAAGCACAUGUGUCGCUCCUCUGCUGGAGACAAAGGAAGAUGCUGUGCUGCCUUGGUGCAGGUCCAGCUGCUGUUGUCAUUUACAUGAAGGACUGCUUUCACUGUAAAGGCGACCUGGACAAUCAGAAUUACUCAGAUGCGAGUCUUUCACAGAGCAAUAUACAUAGACGAGAACACAUAAACAGGCUGAGAGAUGGCCCAGAACUUAAGAGUGCUUUGUUGCUGUUCCAGAGAAUCAAGAUUCGAUUCCCAGCACCUGCCACUGGCUGCUGUUAAGAGAUCUGGUGACCUCUUCUGAUCUCGUUGGGCAUUGCCUGCAUGUAGGGCAUAUACAUGUAUGCAGUCAAACACUCAUAAAAUAAAAAUAAAUGAAUGUCCAUGUAAAUGUAGCUUUUGAGAGUAUGACAAGAUUCUGAUACCAGAAACUGAACUUCUGGCCCGUAGCUUUACAGGCCUGUGUUUCCAGCCUAGUAGGUUGAGCUGAGCAGAUCCUCAUUGUACUUCCUGUUUAGCCUGAUGAAUGGUGAUCUGCCUUACUGCUAAAACUUGUUGACUUGACGUUAGUCUUCUUUGCUGUGUCACCUUCUUGGUCUUGCAUGUUGGUGGCUUUUGUUUUUGAAUUAAAAUAUUUCUUCUUUGAUAUCACCAACACUCCUUUUUUCCUAGCAAGUCUCUGAAAUUAAUUUUUACCUAAUCAUAUUUGACUUUUAUAUAUUCUUUACCUUGUAUGUGUCAUAAACAUUUUCUAGUACCUAAGCUAGAAACCACCAUUGUCUUAACCUUGACUCAAACUUACUGUUAUUUUUUUGUACAAUCUUUUAUAGAUUGUCUCUCAUUUCUGUUCUUACAGUUCAGAAUCCUGUGCCAUUUUUUCCAUGAGAUAAUGUGAUAUUAGACUAAUUGAUCUCUUUCUCAAAAUGCUGCAUACAUCUUUUACAAAACCUACACUGAUGCUGGUCCUUGUAUGUUUAAAAAAUUGGCUACUAAAUAAAUGAUGAGUUCCAAA
Molecule: non-coding RNA, 2528 nt
Organism: Myodes glareolus (Bank vole)
Lineage: Eukaryota; Metazoa; Chordata; Mammalia; Rodentia; Cricetidae
Source: RefSeq, a predicted model, not a curated record